Molecule: long non-coding RNA, 685 nt
Organism: Dermacentor albipictus
Lineage: Eukaryota; Metazoa; Arthropoda; Arachnida; Ixodida; Ixodidae
Source: RefSeq, a predicted model, not a curated record
GUGCCCGUUGCUGUAAAACGGUAGUGGAAUUAUGUUUUAUAAGUGCCUAGAGAAAAUGUGCACCUUGUCGUGUGCAUUAACCAUCGCAAAACCUUCCGGACUCGUGUAACGACAUUAGUUCGCCGUGUGUUUCGUGCGAUCCACCAGUGUCGGUAGUGAGUGUCCUACUGCAGCCCCCGUCCGAGCUUCCUUUGUUCUGCCGAACUGGCCGCCCGCGCUCUCGUGAAAAGUCUGGUACUGGAGCUUCGAAUCAUGGUGCAUGGAAGACUUUGUUGAAGAUGGUGAUUUUGCGGAGCUGGAGUUCAUGGCAAGUUCUACAGUGCUUGCGCCAGAAAAACGUCGGUGCCGCGGUACGUGAGGAGCGUUUGCUGACUACGUCUUGAAAAGGCUAUGCGGAUUCUGGAGGCAUCCCUACACCCCGCAGGAACCUGCUGCACUGCUGAAAGCUGGGAAGCACAACGAUAAAGCACCUGAUCUGCAUGCUUUCACAAAGACCCCUCAAGGAUGGUAAGGAGGUUGAAACACAUCCUUGAUAAAACAAGUGGUGCCGGUGGUGCCGAGCCCGUCGCAGUCAUGUCAGCACCAAAAGCUACACAGCAAGGCACUUCGACACUGCGGAGAUCGAAAACAUGUCAUCGAUGCUUGCGCGCCGGUUUUGAAAUGUGCUAAAUAAAAGGUAGUUGUC